UACGUAGGUGGCAAGCGUUGUCCGGAUUUACUGGGCGUAAAGGGUGCGUAGGUGGAUGUUUAAGUCAGAUGUGAAACCCCUGGGCUCAACCCAGGGACUGCAUUUGAAACUGGAUAUCUAGAGUGCGGGAGAGGUAAGUGGAAUUCCUAGUGUAGCGGUGAAAUGCGUAGAGAUUAGGAAGAACACCAGUGGCGAAGGCGACUUACUGGACCGUAACUGACACUGAGGCACGAAAGCGUGGGUAGCAAACAGG
RNAcentral lists this ribosomal RNA (253 nucleotides) under uncultured bacterium. RNAcentral describes it as "partial 16S ribosomal RNA". It matches the Rfam family "Bacterial small subunit ribosomal RNA", at positions 524 to 776 of the family's 1533-position model. The record is from RNAcentral.